This 313-nucleotide ribosomal RNA is filed under the name Pteria hirundo. RNAcentral describes it as "eukaryotic LSU rRNA". It matches the Rfam family "Eukaryotic large subunit ribosomal RNA", at positions 666 to 946 of the family's 3401-position model. The record is from RNAcentral. Lineage: Eukaryota; Metazoa; Mollusca; Bivalvia; Pterioida; Pteriidae.
CCAAGGAGUCUAACAUGUGCGCGAGUCGUGGGGUUUUUACGAAACCUAAAGGCACAAUGAAAGUGAAGGCAGCUUCGGGUUUGCCUAGGUGGGAUCUUUCCCCUCUCGCAGGAGGAAGCGCACCACCAGCCCGCCUCAUUCGCACCGUCGGCGAGGCGGAGCAAGAGCGUACACGUUGGGACCCGAAAGAUGGUGAACUAUGCUUGAGUAGGACGAAGUCAGAGGAAACUCUGAUGGAGGUCCGUAGCGAUUCUGACGUGCAAAUCGAUCGUCAAACUUGAGUAUAGGGGCGAAAGACUAAUCGAACCAUCUA